RNAcentral lists this ribosomal RNA (327 nucleotides) under uncultured eukaryote. Its description in RNAcentral is "partial 18S ribosomal RNA". It matches the Rfam family "Eukaryotic small subunit ribosomal RNA", at positions 1470 to 1796 of the family's 1831-position model. The record is from RNAcentral.
CCCUUAGAUGUUCUGGGCCGCACACGCGCUACACUGAAGGAGGCAGCGUGUACUCCUGGAUCGAAAGAUUUGGGUAACCCGCGAAUCUCCUUCGUGCUAGGGAUUGAGGUUUGCAAUUAUCCUUCAUGAACGAGGAAUUCCCAGUAAGUGCAAGUCAUAAGCUUGCGCUGACUACGUCCCUGCCCUUUGUACACACCGCCCGCCGCUACUACCGAUUGAAUGAUUUAGUGAGGACUUCGGACUGGGACCGAUGCGGCUUUCGGGCUGCGUCGGUAUUCUGGAAAGAUGUCCAAACUGUAUCAUUUAGAGGAAGUAAAAGUCGUANCA